Molecule: ribosomal RNA, 253 nt
Filed under: uncultured bacterium
Lineage: Bacteria
Description: partial 16S ribosomal RNA
Rfam family: Bacterial small subunit ribosomal RNA
Source: RNAcentral
UACGUAGGGUGCGAGCGUUGUCCGGAAUUAUUGGGCGUAAAGAGCUCGUAGGCGGCUUGUCGCGUCGGAUGUGAAAGCCCGGGGCUUAACCCCGGGUCUGCAUUCGAUACGGGCAGGCUAGAGUUCGGUAGGGGAGAUCGGAAUUCCUGGUGUAGCGGUGAAAUGCGCAGAUAUCAGGAAGAACACCCGUGGCGAAGGCGGCUCUCUGGGACGGUACUGACGCUGAGACGCGAAAGCGUGGGGAGCGAACAGG